This 570-nucleotide ribosomal RNA is filed under the name fungal sp. APA-2013. Its description in RNAcentral is "eukaryotic LSU rRNA". The stretch from base 204 to 357 matches the Rfam family "5.8S ribosomal RNA". The record is from RNAcentral. Lineage: Eukaryota; Fungi.
AGGAAGUAAAAGUCGUAACAAGGUCUCCGUUGGUGAACCAGCGGAGGGAUCAUUACCGAGUUUACAACUCCCAAACCCCUGUGAACAUACCUUAUGUUGCCUCGGCGGAUCAGCCCGCGCCCCGUAAAAAGGGACGGCCCGCCGCAGGAACCCUAAACUCUGUUUUUAGUGGAACUUCUGAGUAUAAAAAACAAAUAAAUCAAAACUUUCAACAACGGAUCUCUUGGUUCUGGCAUCGAUGAAGAACGCAGCAAAAUGCGAUAAGUAAUGUGAAUUGCAGAAUUCAGUGAAUCAUCGAAUCUUUGAACGCACAUUGCGCCCGCCAGUAUUUUGGCGGGCAUGCCUGUUCGAGCGUCAUUUCAACCCUCAAGCCCAGCUUGGUGUUGGGAGCUGCAGUCCUGCUGCACUCCCCAAAUACAUUGGCGGUCACGUCGAGCUUCCAUAGCGUAGUAAUUUACACAUCGUUACUGGUAAUCGUCGCGGCCACGCCGUUAAACCCCAACUUCUGAAUGUUGACCUCGGAUCAGGUAGGAAUACCCGCUGAACUUAAGCAUAUCAAUAAGCGGAGGA